This 1235-nucleotide ribosomal RNA is filed under the name metagenome. RNAcentral's name for it is "bacterial LSU rRNA". It matches the Rfam family "Bacterial large subunit ribosomal RNA", at positions 1564 to 2808 of the family's 2925-position model. The record is from RNAcentral.
UGAGUACGAGAUGCUACGGCAUCGAAGCAGUCUAUGUCAUACUUCCAAGAAAAGCUUGCACUGUCAGAAACAGAUAAUGCCUGUACCAUAACCGACACAGGUGGGUAGGUAGAGUAUACUAAGGGGCGCGAGAUAACUCUCUCUAAGGAACUCGGCAAAAUGACUCCGUAACUUCGGGAGAAGGAGUGCCUUAUUUUUAAGGUUGCAAUAACAAGAUCCAAGCAACUGUUUACCAAAAACACAGGUCUCCGCUAAGUCGUAAGACGAUGUAUGGGGGCUGACGCCUGCCCAGUGCCAGAAGGUUAAAGAAGUCGGUUAGCAUUCGCGAAGCUGGUAACUGAAGCCCUGGUGAACGGCGGCCGUAACAAUAACGGUCCUAAGGUAGCGAAAUUCCUUGUCGGGUAAGUUCCGACCCGCACGAAAGGCGUAAUGAUUUGGAUACUGUCUCGGAGAGGGGCUCGGUGAAAUAGACUUGUCUGUGAAGAUGCGGACUACCUGCACCUGGACAGAAAGACCCUAUGAAGCUUUACUGUAACUUGAAAUUGAAAUUGGACUUUAUUUGCGCAGUAUAGGUGGGAGGCGUUGAAAAUAUUCUUGCGGGAAUAUUGGAGCCAUCAGUGAGAUACCACUCUUGUAAUGUUAGAUUUCUAACUUUAUAUCAUUAUCUGGUUAAAGAACAGUUUCAGGCGGGCAGUUUGACUGGGGCGGUCGCCUCCCAAAUGGUAACGGAGGCGCACAAAGGUUUCCUCUGAACGGGUAGAAAUCGUAUCUAGAGUGUAAAGGCAUAAGGAAGCUUGACUGUGAGACCUACAAGUCGAGCAGGGACGAAAGUCGGCCUUAGUGAUCUGACGGUGCUGAGUGGAAAGGCCGUCACUCAACGGAUAAAAGUUACUCUAAGGGUAACAGGCUGAUCUCCCCCAAGAGUUCACAUCGACGGGGAGGUUUGGCACCUCGAUGUCGGCUCAUCGCAUCCUGGGGCGGUAGUACGUCCCAAGGGUUGGGCUGUUCGCCCAUGAAAGCGGUACGCGAGCUGGGUUCAGAACGUCGUGAGACAGUUCGGUCCAUAUCCGGUGUAGGCGUUAGAAUAUUGAGAGGAGCCUUCUUUAGUACGAGAGGACCGAGAAGGACAUACCUCUGGUGUACCAGUUAUCGUGCCAACGGUAAACGCUGGGUAGCUAUGUAUGGAAUGGAUAACCGCUGAAAGCAUCUAAGUGGGAAGCCCACCUCAAGAUAAG